GGAGAAGGAGAAGGAGCAGCCUACCCUCUGGUGCGUGUGGAGUUAUUAAUGGAUUUGAUAGGGAAUGCAGACGAUAGACUGGCGGCGACGUCACGGCGACGUCAUGGUACGUCGCCUCACAAGACGCCUGAUAAACACGUCGUCUCCAGUUAGCUACGUGUGUAGAGAGAAAGUAGCAUGAUCCUUCUAGGAACAGAACGCGAGUACAAGACGGACAACAAUCAAUCAAUCAAUCAAUCAAUCAAAUACCAUCAUAUAGACUCUGGCUGUGCUGCAGAAUUUGUCCUUGUAGGAGGCUGAACAGGUAUUCCUUUCAGGUCUGGAUUACCACCUCAGGUAAGACUAGAAAAGGUAUGUUUACACAAUGCCCAAUUUACUCAAGUGUUUCCAGUAUUUCUGUUAACUUGGCAGCAAUUAUGUUCUGUUUUUAUCAUUUCAGUAAAUCACAUGUAUGUACCUGCAGCAGUUCACCGCUGUCCUUUUUAACAGCGUUGUGUCUCAUUCAAUGAUAGAAGGGUUUUAAGUCCAUAAUGCAAUUGUCUCUGAAUAUGAAAUAUAAUCAAAAGCAUUAAUCACACAUUGCAAAUACAUAUAACUAAAGCUAGUGUGCCACACAAUUUUAAUUUAGAAGUACAUCACAACACUUGCAAG
This is a long non-coding RNA of Triplophysa rosa, 651 nucleotides long. RefSeq lists it as uncharacterized. The record is from RefSeq and is a predicted model, not a curated record. NCBI's taxonomy places the organism in Eukaryota, Metazoa, Chordata, Actinopteri, Cypriniformes, Nemacheilidae. The transcript is spliced from 3 exons.